RNAcentral lists this ribosomal RNA (253 nucleotides) under uncultured bacterium. Its description in RNAcentral is "partial 16S ribosomal RNA". It matches the Rfam family "Bacterial small subunit ribosomal RNA", at positions 524 to 776 of the family's 1533-position model. The record is from RNAcentral.
UACAGAGGGUGCGAACGUUGCUCGGAAUUACUGGGCGUAAAGCGCGUGUAGGCGGAGCGAUAAGUCGGAAGUGAAAUCCCCGGGCUCAACCCGGGAACUGCUUUCGAAACUGCCGUUCUCGAGUACCGGAGAGGGUGGUGGAACUCUCGGUGUAGAGGUGAAAUUCGUAGAGAUCGAGAAGAACACCGGUGGCGAAGGCGGCCACCUGGACGGAGACUGACGCUGAGACGCGAAAGCGUGGGGAGCAAACAGG